Long non-coding RNA from Lycium ferocissimum, 1150 nucleotides. RefSeq lists it as uncharacterized. The transcript has 2 exons. NCBI's taxonomy places the organism in Eukaryota, Viridiplantae, Streptophyta, Magnoliopsida, Solanales, Solanaceae. The record is from RefSeq and is a predicted model, not a curated record.
ACCAUUUUUUUUUGGGUAUGUUCUAUUUGUUGUUGCAUUUCAUAUUAACACAUGUAUAAACUGUAAAUGAUACAAAUAUGUUUCAGAUACAGAUGUGUUUAUAAAUUUGUGGGGGGUAAGACAGGAUUUCGAGGACGAAAUGGGCUAUUUGAAGGUUUUAUUAUGGGAUGAAAUUGGUUAUUUAUUUGUUUCCGUUCUACUGUGGAGGUCUUCUUUCUUUUGCACAUAACAUAUUUGAUGAAAGUCCUGUUCAGACACUCAAAUGAAACCAACUUAUUCAUCGCUUUCAAUUUCUACUUUGCUUCAACUCUAGUCACACUAGAAAUAGAGUAAAUCAAUCAUCAAACAAUAAUCAACAAUUUCAGUUUCAAUGCCAUUUGAAAAUAGAGAAUAAAUCAACAGUCCACAGAUCAAACCAAGUUCAGUUUGUUGUUGUCUGGGGUUUCAGCGACGACAUUUGUAUUCUAUGUUUGCAACAGAAAUUCUAAUGCCAUACAGAUUCCUAUUACUCCUAUCAAUCGCAAUAUUUAUCAUACCAGUGUUCUGUUUUUAGAUGGUGGCUAUGAGGCGGUGAAGAAGGAGAGGCAACUAAGGGGCUGACAAUAAUGGCUUAAAGACAGUGGAGUUUUGUGGUCGUUGUUCAGUGAACGAGGGACAACUGGGUUAUUUUGGUGAAGAAGAUGAAUAAGUGGCUGAAUUCCGAUCUUCAUUGUAGCCCAUGUGUAAGAAAAAGAAGAUCCAAAAUGGUCAAUUGUUCUCCAACAAAAAAAUUAAUGAAGAAUCUCCCAAAUUUUCACCCACAAGUAAACAUAAUAUUCUCUCCUUUCUUGGAAUAAUUUAUGUAUUUUGGUUUCUGAGUUUGUGGUCAGAUCUGAAUGUAUUCCAUAGCGAUCUCGGGAUUUAUGGGGAGUGUUUGAUUUCCACAUUGCGUUAUCGCGAUUUUGAGUUUGUUUUGUCUUGUACUAUGUACACUAGGAUCGAUCGCCUGUGUCAUUUAGAUUCUCCAGUAGAUUUAGUUUCACUUUUUAGCCUAGAUGUUGUGCAGGUCUUUUUGCGUCUCCUAUUAUAUAUAGAUAGAUUGUUUCCAUAUAAAAGUUUGAGAUAUUCUUUACACAUGAAUUGGGCUGUAUUGAAACUUAAUUUUGAUCCA